GCAACGACGACACCCCUGCGACGACGAACCACUCCUGCGACGACGACACUCUGUGAAGAACCUAGCUGCGCUCGCGAUGCCUCCGCCGGUUCCGGCACCCCUAACCCUCAUUCUGCGGUGACUCUCUUGCAGUGACUCCCUCCGCUCAGUUGCCGUCGCAAACUUGCCGACGAUGAAGCCUUUGCCGCCGCUCCCUUCCGUUUCUGCAAACCCUUGACUCGUUCGGCGCCGCUCCCUUCCUGCUUAGCUUUGGAAGAAAGUAGACUCUCCACGCAUUUGAAAAGUCCUGUUCUUUGUUAUUCCUGGAUACGGACAUGGUGUUUUGCACAAAACAGAUCCAAGAUACACAUGCCAGAGGGAGUUUGCUUUGAAGCAUUUGCCAAAUGAUCCAUAUUUCCAGCUGGUAAUUGUUUAUUUCCUAAUGUCAAUAUUAUUUCCUAGGGGAGUUAAUGAGCCAACAAAUGUUGUAACUAACCUUCCAAAUGGUGAAUAUUUGGAGAAGCAUUUUCUCGUGUGAUCUUUGUCAUUGAA
Molecule: non-coding RNA, 531 nt
Organism: Arachis ipaensis
Lineage: Eukaryota; Viridiplantae; Streptophyta; Magnoliopsida; Fabales; Fabaceae
Source: RefSeq, a predicted model, not a curated record